UUAGGACUAGCCUCAAGUUAGAUACCUGGAGGUAAAGCACUGAAUAGCCUAGCGGCCGAGAGGUUAGCGAAGCUUAUCAAACUCAGAAUGCCAGAGUAUUGAUGCUUGGGAGUCAGACAGUGUCAGAUAAAUGUCAUUGUCAAAAGGGAAACAGCCCAGAUCUACAGCUAAGGUCCCAAAGUCAGGUUAAGUGGAAAACGAUGUGAAGAUACGCAGACAACCAGGAUGUUGGCUCAGAAGCAGCCACUCAUUCAAAGAGUGCGUAAUAGCUCACUGGUCGAGCGUCUUUGCGCGGAGAAUUUAACGGGGCUAAACCUGACACCGAAGCUUAGGCAAUGUAGUAAUACAUUGGGUAGGGGAGCGUUGUAUACGCGGAGAAACAGUAGCGUAAGCGGCUGUGGAGUGUAUAGAAGUGAGAAUGCCGGAAUGAGUAGCGCGAAUGCAGUGAGAAUCUGCAUGGCCGAAAGCCUCAGGUUUCUGGAGGAAGGUUCGUCCGCUCCAGGUUAGUCGGGAGCUAAGGUGAGGCCGGAAGGCGUAGCCGAUGCACAGACGGUAGAGAUUCCGUCACCACCAAAAGAGUUAAGCACAGGGACACAUUUGAAGUCUCAGAGCCGGGUGUUGGUUCCGGUAGAGAUCGAGGGAAGUUAGUACCGAAGUCUGGGAUGGAAGAUGGCGAGAAAAGCUGUGUGUAUUUCUGAGGUGCCCGUACCGCAAACCGACACAGGUAGGUAGGAAGAAGAUUCUAAGGCCAACGGGAGAAGGGUUGUUAAGGAACUCGGCAAAUUGACCCCGUAACUUCGGGAGAAGGGGUGCUCCAGAGAUGGAGCCGCAGAGAAUCGGCCCAAGCAACUGUUUACCAAAAACACAGGUUUGUGCUAAAUCGAAAGAUGACGUAUACGAGCUGACGCCUGCCCGGUGCUGGAAGGUUAAGAGGAGAUGUGCAAGCAUUGAAUCGAAGCCCCAGUGAACGGCGGCCGUAACUAUAACGGUCCUAAGGUAGCGAAAUUCCUUGUCAGGUAAGUUCUGACCCGCAUGAAAGGCGUAAUGAUUUGGGCACUGUCUCAACAGCCCGCCCGGCGAAAUUGUAGUACCGGUGAAGAUGCCGGUUACCCGCGACAAGACGGAAAGACCCCAUGGAGCUUUACUGUAGCCUAAUAUUGGGUUUCGAUGUUGCAUGCACAGGAUAGAUGGGACACAGGGAAACAAGUGCUUUGGCAUUUGUGGAGUGGCCGUUGGGAUACCAUCCUUGCGAUAUUGGAAUUCUAACCUGCGCCUUUGAAUCAAGGCGGGGGACAUUGUUAGGUGGGCAGUUUGACUGGGGCGGUCGCCUCCUAAAGAGUAACGGAGGCGUUCAAAGGUUCGCUCAGCUUGAACGGAAAUCAAGCAAAAGAGUGCAAACGCAGAAGCGAGCCUAACUGCGAGACUGACGGGUCGAGCAGUAACGAAAGUUGGAGUUAGUGAUCCGGUG
This 1468-nucleotide ribosomal RNA is filed under the name human gut metagenome. RNAcentral's name for it is "bacterial LSU rRNA". It matches the Rfam family "Bacterial large subunit ribosomal RNA", at positions 870 to 2425 of the family's 2925-position model. The record is from RNAcentral.